UCGUAACAAGGUUUCCGUAGGUGAACCUGCGGAAGGAUCAUUACCGAGUUAGGGUCUUUUAAAGGCUCGACCUCCAACCCUUUGUCUACUAUACCUCAUGUUGCUUCGGCGGGCCCGUCCUUAUGGACCGCCGGAGGGUUUAAAUCGCCCUCUGGCCCGUUGCCUGUCGAUAGCCCCCAAUUAAACUCUUGUUAAGAAUCGUGUCGUCUGAAGAAUACAAACAAAAAUAAAUAAAAACUUUCAACAACGGAUCUCUUGGUUCUGGCAUCGAUGAAGAACGCAGCGAAAUGCGAUAAGUAAUGCGAAUUGCAGAAUCCGUGAGUCAUCGAAUCUUUGAACGCACAUUGCGCCCUUUGGUAUUCCGAAGGGCAUGCCUGUUCGAGCGUCAUUAUCACCCCUCAAGCUCUGGCUUGGUGUUGGGCUCUCGGCGAGUUUUAAUAACCUGCCGGCCUCAAAGAUAGUGACGGCGCCCCAGAGGGACCCGGUACAAGGAGCUUUUCUAAGCAUGUAUACGGCAUGACUCUGCGGGUGACGGUCUACAACAAACCUUUUAUAUACAAGUGUUGACCUCGGAUCAGGUAGGAAUACCCGCUGAACUUAAGCAUAUCAAUAAGCGGAGGAAAAGAAACCAACAGGGAUUGCCUUAGUAACGGCGAGUGAAGCGGCAACAGCUCAAAUUUGAAAUCUGACUUCUUGGAGUCCGAGUUGUAAUUUGUAGAGGAUGUUUCGGGUACCGCAACGGCUUAAAUUUCUUGGAACAGAAUGUCAGAGAGGGUGAGAAUCCCGUCUGGAGUCGCGGUAGGGCCCAUGUGAAACUCCUUCGACGAGUCGAGUUGUUUGGGAAUGCAGCUCAAAAUGGGUGGUAAAUUUCAUCUAAAGCUAAAUAUUGGCCAGAGACCGAUAGCGCACAAGUAGAGUGAUCGAAAGAUGAAAAGCACUUUGAAAAGAGAGUUAAACAGUAUGUGAAAUUGUUGAAAGGGAAGCGCUGGCAAUCAGACUUGUGUACGGGGGUUCCCCCUUGCUUCUGCUUGGGUUACUCCCUCGUAUCCAGGCCAACAUCGGUUUGGGUGGUUGGUUAAAGGCCUUUGGAAUGUAUCUUCUCUCGGGAAGACUUAUAGCCUCGGGUGUCAUGCAGCCUACCCGGACCGAGGAACGCGCUUCGGCUCGGAUGUUGGCGUAAUGGUUGUCAGCGACC
Molecule: ribosomal RNA, 1195 nt
Filed under: uncultured fungus
Lineage: Eukaryota; Fungi
Description: eukaryotic LSU rRNA
Rfam family: Eukaryotic large subunit ribosomal RNA (bases 565-1195)
Source: RNAcentral